UUACAGAUCAUAUUGCUAUGCCUCUGUGGACUGAGUGGCCAUGACCUCAAAGUGGCUCAUGGAGAGCUGGCAGGCAUGCGACUGCUAAUGGAAGAUGUUCUUCUGAGUAACUACCAUAUGAUCAUGGAGGGUCUCCCAGGACAGCAAGCCACACCAGACAAAAAUACACAGCCAGAUUUGUCCAGAGUGCCAGGACUCCAAAGCAGCCCAAAGGCCUCCAAGCUGCUGGGGGGCCCGUGUGAUGCCGUGACGUCCCUUGCUCUGCUGAGAUCAUUUCUGGUGCUGUGGAAGCAACUGGAAGUGCUAAAGGAGCACUGGGGCCGACUCAAGCUCCAAGUCCAGGACAUCAACUCUCCCUGUCUCCACAAACAGUUCUCGGAGCUCUAUGGAACUGAUAUUCUCUACCCUAGCAUGAAAGCUAUAGCUAGGCGGAUGGGGAAAGAAGAUGAAUUUGAAGAAAUUUUAAUAACUAGUCAGUGUAUUCUUCCCCCCAAAGGAGCUUCAGAAAUCGAAAUAAAAACUCAACAGCUUCAGAAACUUCUGGAAAAUCUUGAAAUUCAUAUGAUCCAGGAGGUAUUAAAGAAAGUUAACAAAGAGAUAACACUGGUUGUAUCAGAAAAGUCCAAGGAGCAGCAUACUCUCCCUACAGACCUUUGGAAACACCAAGUCAUGGAAGAAAACUUUUCAAUUAUCAGGCCGCAAAUAGUUGAAAAUUUUGUACAGAGAUUAUUGGAGAACUACCAGGAUGGUGGAUUAGAGGUCACGUUCAGGAAAGACCACCUUGAGGCCUGCCUCCUUUCCCUGGGUUGUGAUGUGAUGGCCAGAGAACGCAGCAACUUCGAGAGCUACUCCAUGUGUUACGAGCAUAUAUUAGAGCACGUUAGACAGAAGCUCUGCCAGAAGGAGCAAGAAUUAGACAUUAUACGAAGAGGUCAAAGUCCACCUGAAGACAAGGCUGGUCAGGUUGCAGAACUCAGUCAUAAUAUGAUCAUGGAAAUCACUGCCCUGAGAGCCCGACUCACGGAUUUGGAGGAGGAGAAUCUAAAUCUCAAAAAGCAAAUUAGAAAAGAGGUCCAAGAAGAAUAUGAAGCAUUAGUCCAAGCUUUGUUUGUGACAUGUUUGCACAUCAAAGAGAAGUUGGAUGAGAAUCAGCUUAAUUUGAUCCAGAAAGUGUGUGAGCUCAUCGGCGAAGUAAGAACAGAAGGGAUUGACAACAUGAAAAGCCUAAAGAAGAAGUGGGGCUCUGCCAGGCCUGACGAAGAAAUGAAAGAAAAUCCAGCCAAAGAGCAGCUGCAGGCCUUGGAGCAGGACAACUGCGCCCUGGCCGCCCUGGUGCGCAAGCUGAGGAGCCUGGGCCAUUGGAGGCUGGUGGUGCGGCAGGCACACUUCCGGGGCCAGCUGAGCAGGGCUGAGAAGGAAGCUGUGCAAACUAAAAAAGAGUGUUUGAACAUCAAGCUAAUGGCUGAACAAGAAGUGGUUUUAUUUCGUCAACAGCUAUUGGCUCUAAGGCAGGCCCUGGCUAGGGCUCAGGCGGACAAUGUGAAGAUGUGCAGGCAGCAGGAGAAUCAGGCACAGUUGCUGAAAGAGUUAGAACACAGAAUGACCCAGGAAGCUCUCCGCAGGCAGCAGCUGGAUUUAAUGAAAGCGACCAGCAUGGAGAAGCUCUUAAAGGAUGUGGAGCAAAAGGAACAGCACCUGCAGCUCCUUACUGAAGAUGCCAAGAGGGCUUCUAAACUAGGCCAGCUGCAGCAGAAGAAAAUUCAGAGAGAACUCCGACAGGUGAGAAGCCGGCUUGCCCAUGAGCGUAGUAUGAAGCUGGAUGCUUUCCAGUGGGUAGAAGAGCUACAAAGUCAGCUUAAUGAUGCUGAGCAAUCCUCCACCCAAAGGAACUCACCUGGAGGCCUUAUGUCCCAAGCUCACUACUCCCUAAGUUCUGCUUCCACAUCAUCCAGAUACACCCAGCAACACCUUUUAAAGACUCAACUCAUGGGCAGCAAAAUAACAAGGAUUCAAAGGCCAAAGACUGUACCUAUUAAACACAAAAAAAGAACUGAUGAUGUCUUCCUACCCAAUGUGGCAGAUACUGUUCAACUUUCAGCUUUUCAAGUUUAA
RNAcentral lists this long non-coding RNA (2112 nucleotides) under Cervus hanglu yarkandensis (Yarkand deer). Its description in RNAcentral is "lncRNA (ENSCHYG00000018331.1)". The record is from RNAcentral. Lineage: Eukaryota; Metazoa; Chordata; Mammalia; Artiodactyla; Cervidae.